RNAcentral lists this ribosomal RNA (212 nucleotides) under uncultured bacterium. RNAcentral's name for it is "partial 16S ribosomal RNA". It matches the Rfam family "Bacterial small subunit ribosomal RNA", at positions 1293 to 1500 of the family's 1533-position model. The record is from RNAcentral.
UCGGACUGCAGUCUGCAACUCGACUGCACGAAGCUGGAAUCGCUAGUAAUCGCGGAUCAGCACGCCGCGGUGAAUACGUUCCCGGGCCUUGUACACACCGCCCGUCACACCAUGGAAGUCUGCAAUGCCCGAAGCCGGUGGCCUAACCACUUAUGUGGAAGGAGCCGUCUAAGGCAGGGCAGAUGACUGGGGUGAAGUCGUAACAAGGUAAC